AGUGAACGCUGGCGGUAGGCCUAACACAUGCAAGUCGAACGGCAGCACAGGAGAGCUUGCUCUCUGGGUGGCGAGUGGCGGACGGGUGAGGAAUACAUCGGAAUCUACUUUUUCGUGGGGGAUAACGUAGGGAAACUUACGCUAAUACCGCAUACGACCUACGGGUGAAAGCAGGGGGUCUUCGGACCUUGCGCGAUUGAAUGAGCCGAGGUCGGAUUAGCUAGUUGGGGGGGUAAAGGCCCACCAAGGCGACGAUCCGUAGCUGGUCUGAGAGGAUGAUCAGCCACACUGGAACUGAGACACGGUCCAGACUCCUACGGGAGGCAGCAGUGGGGAAUAUUGGACAAUGGGCGCAAGCCUGAUCCAGCCAUACCGCGUGGGUGAAGAAGGCCUUCGGGUUGUAAAGCCCUUUUGUUGGGAAAGAAAUCCAGCUGGCUAAUACCCGGUUGGGAUGACGGUACCCAAAGAAUAAGCACCGGCUAACUUCGUGCCAGCAGCCGCCGUAA
Molecule: ribosomal RNA, 506 nt
Filed under: uncultured bacterium
Lineage: Bacteria
Description: partial 16S ribosomal RNA
Rfam family: Bacterial small subunit ribosomal RNA
Source: RNAcentral